RNAcentral lists this ribosomal RNA (373 nucleotides) under uncultured eukaryote. RNAcentral describes it as "partial 18S ribosomal RNA". It matches the Rfam family "Eukaryotic small subunit ribosomal RNA", at positions 592 to 976 of the family's 1831-position model. The record is from RNAcentral.
CAAUAGCGUAUAUUAAAGUUGUUGCAGUUAAAAAGCUCGUAGUUGAAUUUUUGCUUGCCGCCGAUGUCGGAACUUCCGUACGUUCGGCGGCGUGCAUCCUUGGGUGGAACCUGUGUGGCAUUAGGUUGUCGUGCAGGGGAUGCUCAUCGUUUACUGUGAAAAAAUUAGAGUGUUCAAAGCAGGCUUACGCCGUUGAAUAUAUUAGCAUGGAAUAAUAAGAUAGGACCUUGGUACUAUUUUGUUGGUUUGCGCACCGAGGUAAUGAUUAACAGGGACAGUUGGGGGUAUUCGUAUUCCAUUGUCAGAGGUGAAAUUCUUGGAUUUACGCAAGACAAACAGCUGCGAAAGCGUCUGCCAAGGAUGUUUUCAUUAA